GGAUGUGAGGGCAAUCUGGCUGCAAAAUCUGUCACCAGGGUUGAUAUGGCUGAGCUUGCAAGCUAGGCAGGAGUCCCCUUCCUCCCUCACUACUCCAUGUACAUCCCUCCUGAACCUGCACACUUGGUUGAAGAGGCCAACCUUCCCUGAAUAGAGGACGACCAGUCUUUAGUCAAGGGUAGAAGAACAGCUGUGCUCCCCUGCUAGAACCUCCAAAUAAGCCCUCAAAUGUGCUUUAUUAAAAUACAAAGUCUCCUUUACACCUGUUGUGACCUUUGUGACAUUGUCACUGC
RNAcentral lists this small nuclear RNA (293 nucleotides) under Jaculus jaculus (lesser Egyptian jerboa). Its description in RNAcentral is "7SK RNA (ENSJJAG00000009298.1)". It matches the Rfam family "7SK RNA". Rfam says of the family: 7SK was discovered as an abundant small nuclear RNA in the mid-70s but a possible function has only recently been suggested. The record is from Rfam by way of RNAcentral. Lineage: Eukaryota; Metazoa; Chordata; Mammalia; Rodentia; Dipodidae.